This 375-nucleotide RNase P RNA is filed under the name Enterococcus durans. Its description in RNAcentral is "RNase P RNA component class B". It matches the Rfam family "Bacterial RNase P class B". Rfam says of the family: Ribonuclease P (RNase P) is a ubiquitous endoribonuclease, found in archaea, bacteria and eukarya as well as chloroplasts and mitochondria. Its best characterised activity is the generation of mature 5'-ends of tRNAs by cleaving the 5'-leader elements of precursor-tRNAs. Cellular RNase Ps are ribonucleoproteins. Lineage: Bacteria; Bacillati; Bacillota; Bacilli; Lactobacillales; Enterococcaceae. The record is from RNAcentral. RNAcentral also lists the same sequence under 1 other name.
GUUUUCGGGUAAUCGCGGUCUGACUUGAUCAGGCUGAGGAAAGUCCAUGCUCGCACAGGCUGUGAUGUCUGUAGUGUUCGUGCUUAGCGAAAAAAUAAGCUAAGGUACUCUUUCGGGAGUAACGGCAGGAAAACGAGCUAAGGUCAUUGACUAUGCUUUAGUAUCCUUGAAAGUGCCACAGUGACGAAGCGAAUAGGGAAACUUAUUCGGUGGAACGCGGUAAACCCCUCGAGCGAGCAACCCAAACAACGGUAGGGGCGCUUUUUGUCGGGGAAUUAAGAACGAGACAAAAGGGCAGGUUAACUGCAGAUAGAUGGUUACCACGUUCUCCUUUCUUCCCUGAAAAGGAGGACGUACAAAACAUGGCUUACAGAA